AUGGUAGAAAGAAGGAGACUACUGUUGAUCCCUGCAAUUAGUCUCACCAUUGGCUCCCUUCAGUACAGUCUGGAGAAGGGAGCAGCAAAAGCUGAAUUUACUGACAUGCCAGCGCUUCGUGGGAAGGAUUAUGGAAAGACGAAAAUGAGUUAUCCAGAUUACACUGAAACAGAAUCAGGCCUCCAAUACAAGGAAUUACAGGACUUGCGAGUUGGAGAGGGCCCAUCCCCAAAGAAGGGAGAGACAGUAGUGAUUGAUUGGGAUGGGUACACAAUUGGAUACUACGGUCGCAUUUUUGAAGCUCGAAACAAGACCAAAGGUGGUUCUUUCGAGGUAAUACCAGCCUUUGAGGAGGCUAUGACAGGCAUGCGUCCCGGUGGAGUUAGAAGGAUAAUAGUACCACCGGAUAUUGGAUACCCAGAUAAUGACUUGAACAAGUUAGGCCCAAAACCGACAACAUUUUCGGGACAAAGAGCUCUAGAUUUCGUUCUAAGGAAUCAAGGAUUAAUAGACAAAACUCUCCUGUUUGACAUUGAGCUUAUCAGGAUAAUUCCGAGUCAAUAG
RNAcentral lists this ribosomal RNA (564 nucleotides) under Triticum aestivum (bread wheat). RNAcentral describes it as "partial small subunit ribosomal RNA". Lineage: Eukaryota; Viridiplantae; Streptophyta; Magnoliopsida; Poales; Poaceae. The record is from RNAcentral.